RNAcentral lists this ribosomal RNA (156 nucleotides) under uncultured bacterium. RNAcentral's name for it is "partial 16S ribosomal RNA". The record is from RNAcentral.
UUCUGUCAGUACGUCACAGCUAGCAGGUAUUAACUACUAACCUUUCCUCCUGACUGAAAGUGCUUUACAACCCGAAGGCCUUCUUCACACACGCGGCAUGGCUGCAUCAGGCUUGCGCCCAUUGUGCAAUAUUCCCCACUGCUGCCUCCCGUAGGA